RNAcentral lists this ribosomal RNA (459 nucleotides) under uncultured bacterium. RNAcentral describes it as "bacterial SSU rRNA". It matches the Rfam family "Bacterial small subunit ribosomal RNA", at positions 341 to 792 of the family's 1533-position model. The record is from RNAcentral.
ACGGGAGGCAGCAGUGGGGAAUCUUGGGCAAUGGGGGAAACCCUGACCCAGCGACGCCGUGUGGGGGAUGAAGGCCUUCGGGUUGUAAACCCCUGUUGGGUGGGACGAAUGCCUCUCUGUAAAUAACAGAGAGGUUUGACGGUACCACCAGAGAAAGCCCCGGCUAACUCCGUGCCAGCAGCCGCGGUAAUACGGAGGGGGCGAGUGUUGUUCGGAAUUAUUGGGCGUAAAGGGCGCGCAGGCGGCUUGGCAAGUCGAGUGUGAAAUCCCUUGGCUUAACUGAGGAAUGGCGCUCGAAACUACCUCGCUAGAGGGCGGGAGAGGGAAGUGGAACUCUCGGUGUAGGGGUGAAAUCUGUAGAUAUCGAGAGGAACACCGGUGGCGAAGGCGGCUUCCUGGCCCGCAUCUGACGCUGAGGCGCGAAAGCGUGGGGAGCAAACAGGAUUAGAUACCCUGGUA